Molecule: long non-coding RNA, 269 nt
Filed under: Lathyrus oleraceus (garden pea)
Lineage: Eukaryota; Viridiplantae; Streptophyta; Magnoliopsida; Fabales; Fabaceae
Description: Pisum sativum (pea) long non-coding RNA (PSAT_LNC035494)
Source: RNAcentral
AAGAUCUUAGGACUUUUGUUUUAAAAUCAAUUCACUCAUAUUUUGGAAAUCUUUUAGCCGAACUACGGCGUUUUGAUCCGUACCUUCCAUGGAAAGGUACGUAGGCAACGGGUUCAUCCGUUCAAACACAAAAAUAAUAAAAUUAUAUAUUCUUUUUCCCAUCCCUUCAACCAUGUUUGCACAAUAAAUAUUUCAUAAACAAAUAACAUUUCAUACAACAAGUUGUGAAAAGGGCUCCCUAGGAGUACCUAGGACAUUUUGGGUGCCUA